GGUAAACCAUUCUCAGCGGUCUAACGAGACACCUCUGAAGACUUGGGUAAUUGCAAAGGAGGAUGGAGAAGUGAUUGCAGCUCAUUGCAAUUGUAUGGCAGGAUCUGGAAAAUGCAAGUCCCAGGGGCUCUUCUCUUCCUCGUCAUGGGCUCUAUCUCUGCCAAAAAGGUGGGGGAUUUUGGUGUGUUUACUGCUUGCAUCGACACAAAGGAAAAUAACAGUCUCAGAUUGCAGUGCUACUAUCAAGACUGUUCACAACCUCCCUAUAUGCCCUUCAGCUGUGAAUUCAAGACAUCGAAUGGAGGUAUACUGGCUACAAUGAAAAACACGAUGUGCAAGAAUUACACUGUCCCAUUAACAGAACACAGUCUUAGCGAGUUGCAAGAGACUGGUAAUGUGACAAACUUCACAUGCACACUGACAAGAAACAAGAGGACUGAAACGAAGAAUAUCACCAUAGACUACAAGGCACACAAAGAAAAACAACGAGUCCCAAAGUGCUGUGCUGCAAGCCCAACCUCCCUGUGGCCUGUGGUGCUCCUCACUCUGUGGAGAGUCGUUGACUCCUGAUGAAGCAAGCAUGAAGGAGGGUCUCUGAACGCUUUGACUAACACAGAUGUAUCUGUUCCAUUUAGGCAUUUUGAAAUUUAAGAAACUUUCUUAAAUACAUUUCUAUGCAGGCUUCCAUUACUUGCCUGAUCCCCAAGUACAUGCAAUAAUGCAGUAUGUUAACAUAUAAACUGAAUUCCAACUAUGAUAUAUGAUAAUAUGAUAUAUUAAAGACUUAUGAAUUAAAAGCAUUAACUCAC
Astatotilapia calliptera (eastern happy) is the source of this 809-nucleotide long non-coding RNA. The record is from Ensembl. NCBI's taxonomy places the organism in Eukaryota, Metazoa, Chordata, Actinopteri, Cichliformes, Cichlidae.